RNAcentral lists this ribosomal RNA (429 nucleotides) under uncultured bacterium. RNAcentral's name for it is "partial 16S ribosomal RNA". It matches the Rfam family "Bacterial small subunit ribosomal RNA", at positions 356 to 781 of the family's 1533-position model. The record is from RNAcentral.
UGGGGAAUUUGGACAAUGGGCGCAAGCCUGAUCCAGCCAUGCCGCGUGCGGGAAGAAGGCCUUCGGUUGUAACCGCUUUUGUCAGGGAAGAAAUCUUCUGAGUUAAUACCUCGGGGGGAUGACGGUACCUGAAGAAUAAGCACCGGCUAACUACGUGCCAGCAGCCGCGGUAAUACGUAGGGUGCAAGCGUUAAUCGGAAUACUGGGCGUAAAGCGUGCGCAGGCGGUUUUGUAAGACAGAGGUGAAAUCCCCGGGCUCAACCUGGGAACUGCCUUUGUGACUGCAAGGCUUGAGUGCGGCAGAGGGGGAUGGAAUUCCGCGUGUAGCAGUGAAAUGCGUAGAUAUGCGGAGGAACACCGAUGGCGAAGGAAUCCCCUGGGCCUGCACUGACGCUCAUGCACGAAAGCGUGGGGAGCAAACAGGAUUAG